AUGGCACCACAAACCGUUGGCAUGCAGGGCUUGCCUGGCUGAGCUGGAGGGGUAAGAGCUGCCAGCCUGUGCAUGGGGAAACCAAAACAGAGGGGGUUGCCUUGGCAAUGCUGGCUUGUCCACAUCCUGUGAGCUGCAGAGCAACCGCGGCGAUGGCAUGGAGGUAGAGUUUGCAGAAAAGCUGCAGUUUACUGGAACUGCUGUGCUGUGUCACCGUGGCAGAGGGGAGAGAGCUGGAGGUCAUUCUGCCAGUUAAGCUCUUUAGGCCCAUCCCUCAACAGGCUCUUAUGUCUUCAUGAAGUUUCCUCCAACCUAACAAAGCUCAACCCGCUCCUCUCAGCUGAGAUGCCGCCUGACUCAUGCCAGGAGUGUGGCUGCUCCCUGCAUCCACAGUGAGAGCAGGAGCAGCUCUGGGGACAACUGACUUGUGGGGUGUGCCCUGACUAUUUCUGGAUUAUUUCAACACUCCUGCGCUCUGUGGUCAUCUGCAACUCAUGACCUGUGGAGGUGACAUGAAAUCAACUGACCUACAGCCACCCCCAUUUCCUUCACACAGAUGAGACCACACUUUGUGCAGUUGAUGCUAAGGAGUGCAAAGCAGGAAUCACAUUAUUAAACAACCAUUUCCGUCUGUUACUGGCGUUAUGUCAGCUUUAUAUCAGCUUUCCAUUGCAGUGACAGCGGUGGUUCAGGCAGGGAGAGGCUAAUUUUUUUUACAGCCUCUGAGCUCCCUGAUCCACCCAGCAGGGACACAGCUAUGCUGUCACACAGUGGCACCUAUUUUCCCUGCUUGCACCUGCAGACUUAAAGGAAAACUGGAUGAAACCCGACACCGAGGGUGAGCAGUUUCCUUAGCAGGGAUUGCACGUUGCUGUUUCGGAAAUGGUGACUAAGAAGGGUUUUGCCGCCGGUCUCCCAGAACUCGCAGCCGGCUACAGAGACCUUCCUCAAACGUAGAAGACAAACACCAAAAGCCACCACCCAGCAAACACGACCAGCUGAAGCUUCAUCUCGUUCCCACCACCACCAAACUUUCCUGCCAGAAGCCACGCGUAAAGGCUUUCAUUCCCUAAAGGGAGUGAUUUGGAAAACUACUGAUAUGGAUGUUGGAUAACAGGGUUAAAGUGAAACUAUUUUGCAAGCUGCUGCCUGGAGCCCACUCGUCAUCGCCGUCUGCACACGCGCGGCUGCCGUCGGCCCCCGGAUCACCGCGACUGUGGCCAAAAGAUCAGUUUUGAGUUUAGGUUUCCAAAGCCAACCCGGUAAUCUGCCCAUUUCCGGAAGAAAUCGGUCAGCCCGUUCUGCCGCCGCUGGAAGACCUGAUGUGGAGGGAGAGCAGGGGGAAAACCAUAAUGAUGGAGAUGAGAAACAGCUUUGACAGGCUUUGGACACACAAGUACUCAUUCCAGGGGGAUUCUCCUGAUUCUCCAUGCCCUUGGAAAUGAUGGUGGACUUAUGCUGAGCUAAUUGUCACUUGCAAGCUGAGCAGGAAUGAGGCCGUGUGAGAUGCUUAGAGACAAGUCCUUGUUCUCUGCAAAGUGCCUUGAUGCAUUGCCAGAGUAAACUGAUUUGCAGAUCUGGAUGCUUUGAUGAGAAAUGCUGUCCAUGGAUUGCAUUGCCUUGGUGAUAGCUCCUGGUUGCUUCUGUCUCAUCAAUAUUGGGGUAAGUGGGGAGAAACUGACUUGUUGCUAAUGCCUAUCUUCAUCUUCAGAGCAAGUUAAAUGUGUUGGAUGCUGCACCAGCUGACAAUGGGGACUAAUGUUGCUGAGGUCUGACACUUGUGUUUGAUGGAAAAGGUGCUCUCCUUGCCUGACAUAAGUGGGCUUCUGCUGCUUUAUCCCACCUGAGAAGUCACCCCCAUGCAGCUUCAUCUCUGACUCCCAAGUGGCCUCAAAUAUUACAUGUCUUUUUCUAUCACCUGCCUAAAUUGUACUGGAUUCAUGCACAUGUGUAAGAGGCAAGAACUGUUAUCUCUUAAAAGCAGGUGAAGAGACCUUUGCAUGUAACCGAGAUGUGGAAGUGUAUCCACAGCAGAUUCAAAGAAAAUUCUCCUAAUUUGAGAAUUAAACUGGCAGCACAGAUGGAAGGAAUUUUGGUGGACAUCAUCUGUAGACUUCUCAGUGCUGUUGAUGCCCAGGAUAAACAUUAUUGGAUUCCUAGCUCUGAAUAAGAUGCAUUCUUUUUGUAAGUACCCUGACCUAGCUAUAUUUUUCAAAGAGCAUGAGGGACAAUUUGCUUUGCAUAACUUCCAUUAUGAAUGGUUGCAGAGGAUGGGGGCACUGGUGACAUUCUCUUGCAAGCUUCAUUCUUGGAAGAGUAAGUAUCCUGUCUGUGAGGGUUGUGGUGACUGUGCAUGCCCACUUUUUGAUUUCAAAACAAAACCACUUCCAUUACUUUAGCGGAUUGUGAAUGCUCUAGAAUGAGAGUGGGGAGGAAUAAUGCAAUUAGAUAAAGUGCGGGCUCUGCUCUCUGUAACUCCACUGGUGGUGGUGGAGAUGUACCUGCUUGAUAUUUCCAGGGAUACCCCAACCCUGAAAACUUUCAAGGUCAAAUUCAACAGGGCUCUGAGCAGCCUGAUCAAGUUAAAGAUGACCCUGCUCACUGCAGGGGGAUUGAACUAGAUGACCUUUAAAGAUUCUUUCCAACCCAAAGUAUUCUGAUUCUUUGCUAUUUGUGGGCAAUCAGAUCAUGCCCACAGCAUGGAGACACUGGCUGGGUCCUCUCCCAGGACCAUACCUGUUGAUAUGUACUGCUGAUUUUAGUGGAUUUUUUUUUUUUCCUCUGUUUCUGCACUUGAGGACAGACAUGGGCAAGGCAAAGGGCCUGGUAGAUGGCUCCUGGUCUGAAGCUCAAACCCCCUUGCCCUGGUCUGGGUCUUGUGUUUGAAUCAUAGCUCCUUCAGCCAUUAACUUUUUGUAGCAAAGCAGCCCCGUGGGUCAUGGCAUUAUAAGUAGCCCUCUUUGGAUCAUGAAGGAAUGCUGCCUGAGGAGGGAAGGUCCCUAAGAGCAGUCCAUUCCUACCAGCCUGACAUGUGGGCCAGCCUCCUCGUGUCUGGGUGGAUGCAGAGUGAGGCCUCACCUGUGGUGAAGGUGGUCGAGACGAGGCCGCUGCGCAUGGCGUUCUGGGCAGCCUGCAGGUGCACCGUGUACUCCGUGGUCUCAGAAAGCCCCUCCAGACGGAUCCACGUGUCCUCAGCAUCCACAAUCAGCUCCUGUACAUGGGUCCCAGAAGGAGGCAGACACCAAGAGCAACAGAUGAGAAAAGCAAUGGGGAGCCUAAAGAGCAAGUGAGGAGGGAAGGGAAGCCACAAACUACUGCAGCCUGGCUGAGGAGCACUGCAUGACUGCUUAGAGCCCUGGAUUGAGUGAAUGUGAGUUCAGCCAAUAUAGCCAACAUUUCAGAAUUGUUGGGGUGUGGGGGAAAGCAACCUGGUUUGGAGAUGGAUUUAAAUGUUUGCAGUCUGUGUCCUCUGUCAGCUGGGUCUGUUGGGACCCAUGUGCCUUCAGUACAAGACAUGACUGAUUGCCCAGCAGUGCAAGAAAUUGAGCUGGCCAAGCCUGGUUAUCAGCCAGUUUUGACUCUGUUGAUUUCUGUCAUGUUAAUUUUUCUGGUUGUUGGCCGGUGCCACACAGCAUUAUUGGACCCCUUUUGCAAAGCUAUUCUCCUCUGGCUGCUGUGAGCCAAUCACACCAGCAAAGGAAAUCAGACUGUUUGCCAUGACGUAUUUCUGACAGUGUUUGUUGCAGCUCCUCCAGAAAGGCAGAUGUGGACACACUCAUUAAAUAAUCAAAUGUAUUGUAUUGCAGAAUUAAUUAGCUGCCUGUGCCUUUUUUGCAGGAUGGGCAAAAGGCCUUUUUAGCAUCUCUGCAGAAUAAUACUCUCCUGCCUCAGCUUGCUUGUGUUUCACAACCUGUGAAUUGCCUUUGUUCCUCCAAUCUUUCCAGGUAACCCCUCUAUGCCCAGACCAGUAGGUGUACCUCAACAUUUUACCUUAGGCAAUCUCUUCUUGCUUUUUCCUAUCAUCCUGCUUAGCAGGAAGCAGUGUCUGCCAUUCUGGCCUCCCUGAGCCACUGAGCAUUGUUCUUUUGCUCUGUUUGGCUUCUCCUGCUUGUUUUAACAUGGCCUUCUUAUUCCCUGACUGAAUGAGGCUCUUUGGUGUGAGGACUCACUCACCUUCCUGCUGCCAUCAGUGGAUCUGUAGGUCAUGAUGUAAUUCUCAAUCUCUCCCACGGGAGGAACCCAGGAUAGCAGGGCACUCCGUCGUGUGACUUCACUGGCUGUCAGAUUUGUUGGAGGAUCCAAAACUGGAAGAGUGGAUAGGGACACAGGGAAGUGCAAUAAUUUCUCACACACAGCCACCUCAACCCUACUUCCCAACUCAGUACACUGGGAUUCAACCUUGCAGCACUGAGCUACAGCCCAAAGUCCAUCCUCACCCUCAGUUUCAAGACCUCAUCACCCAUCCCCAGGCUUGAACAGAGCUCUGCAAACCCUCUAGAAGUCCUCCUCUACCUGUGUGCCACCUUAAGGGUAAAAUUCAUGUGCUAUGGGACCUGUCAAGCAAAAUGAGUUGUGUUCUUCUGGACUUGGGCAAAAAAAAGACCUGGUCAGGGGUCUGCUCAGGAAACCACAGCCAGGGGAAAUCACCAAAAGAAAGGGAUGGAUGGAUGGAUGUUGAAAGAGUGAAAAUAAUGGUUGAUGUUUGUUGAUUAAAAUUGUGUUCUUGCGUUGUGCCCUGCACUGGUAUUUGGGAUUGGUGUUUGUGUCCUUUUGGCUCAUGGCUACCUCUACACCCACAAGAGCUUUGGCUCAGCCUUGCUGGCUGCUUUUCCUGGGGUGAGUGCAUGGCUAGGGAUGAGGGGUGAGGGAAGGGAUUGUACGUACGAGUAGUGAAGUUGGUGCUGAUGGUCUGGCUGGUGAGAGGCCCGCUGGUGGCAUACAUAGACACUGUGUAGGUGGUACUGGGCAGCAGGUUGGUCAGCUGGUACUCCUGGCUGUCUCCAUCCACGAGAAUUGUUUCUCCUGCAACUGUAGGCAAAAAGGGAUGAGUUAGGGUAGAUAUUGAAAAUGUGUCUCUGGAUAUGACCUCAUGACAAAAAGCAUUUCUAUUGCUGAAGCACCAUAAGGUACUGUGCAGCAGCUGAGCUGUAGUGGUGCUGUUCAGUCUGAAGGGUGGUCUGAUUUUUCCCACAAUCCCUAUAAAACCCAAGGCAAGGGCUCCUUCCCUUUUCCCCCAGUGAAGGGCUCCCACUGAGCCCUGGGCUUUGGGAUGGGAGAGAGGUUGAGGUGAGCUGAAGCAGAGCCCUGGUGUACCUGCAUGACGGGUGAGGAUGAGGACGUAGCUUUCCACCUCCGACAGCGGCGGGUUCCACUGCAGCAGUGCCUCGGUGGGAGUGAUGUUGGUGGCUGUGACCCCCAGGGGGACAUCCAUGGCUGCAUGGGGGAAGAGAUCCAGAGAGUCAGAGGCAUUAGGAGACUGGACUAUGAGCUGGAAGGGCUUCUUGUGGCAUACUGCUCUAUGCCCUGCCCUGCUGCCCAGACACAUGUGCCUGCACAGGAGUUAGUGCUGCCCAAGCUGGAGUGCAAAGAGGUCAUUGUUUGUGUUACUCUGCUACCUGGGCUGCUCUUCCACUCUUUUCUAGAUGCCCAGUCUGGCUUGUUAGGGAUUUUCUUUAGGCUUUGAGGAGCCUGGCGAUAGCAGAAGGUUUUAUGCUUGCAGCAGAUGCUGCUUGUGACAGGGCUUCCCUAGGGAUUAUUUCUGGAAAUCUGUACUCUGUUCAGGAAAGGUUGUCAUGAUUGCCCAGCAGCAUGUUUCUGGCUUCGUGGUGCCUGGUACACAGGUUUAUUACUUUUACCCAUGACUUCCCAUGCAUACUUGGGAUAAACUUUGCUGAGACAUACUUCAAAAGUCCACACUGAGCCCUUCUGAGCCCUGCUUAUCAUCUCCAGCUUGCAUCCGGCUGGUGUGAGGUCCAGUUUGCUCUCAGUCACCUGGGUAUUAGUGCAAGCAGGAACUGCCAGCCCUGGGCAGGGCUGGAGCUGACACUGUUUGGUUGUUCCCUGCCCACCAAGAGCUCCUUCCCACCUGUGUAUGCAGUGAUGGAGGCCAGCUCACUCUCCUCCCGGCCCCGCACGCUCUUCAGCUCAAUCUCAUACUUGGUGGCAGGCUGCAGGUCCUGGAGAGUGUACUCAGUGGCAUCCCUGGAGAUGGCCAUGCUGUCUGUCCUUCCUGCAGAGAUGGAGCCAAGAGCUUAGACAUCAUAGCUGGCCCCAUCCCUGGGGCUCAGGAGGAGCUUGGGUGGGGAGGGCAGUUCCACAGGGCACUGGAGGUAUAAGUGGGUUUUGUGCCUGCAGGUGCACUCCUGUGAGCCCAUCACUCUGCUGGCCUGGCCUUUCCAGCAUCAUUGACAAAGCUAGGGCCAAGGGAGAUGAGGGAGGCAAAGCAGAUGAGAGAGCUGGGAUUUCAGGACUGAGCCCUGAAUCUAACCAUCUCUGGGGAGGGCACACUGCUGGGGGCGAUUCUAUGUGCCCCUCUGUGCCGAGCUGGCUGCAGUGGUCCCUUUCCAUCCUCAUGCCAUCACCCCAUCCUCUGCCCUGGAGCCAAUCCCAGUUAUUGGUCGCUUUGCCCAAGGCACUGAGAUGCUGCCUGGGUGAGGAUGACCUAGUGGCUUGCCUGGGCCAGCGGAUGGAGGGAGGGCUGGCAGCUGUGAGCUCAGGGCAUGAACAGGAGUGGUCUGGCCCCUUACCUUCGGCAGCACGGUAGGAUAUCCUGUAGUGGUCAAAGGCAGCCAUGGGAGCGCUCCAGUAGACCAUCAUGGACUCCUGGGUGACGUUGCCCACCCUGAGGUCCUUUGGUGCAUCAAUCCCUGGUGAGAUGGAGCACAAAGAAAAGCUGUGGGAGGCAGGCCCACUCCCCAUGCCCCUGCCUGCCCUCCCCGGUGCUGUCCCAUGCCUGCUGGGGGGUGUCCCGUGGUACCUGUUGUGAUGGAGCCCACGACAGGCUCAGAGCUGAUGGUGCCGUGCACGGCCACCAGUGACACCAGGUACUCGGUGGAUGGCUGCAAGCCCGUCAGGCUGAUGUGCCUGCGGGUGCCAUCGAGUGUGACCUGCUGGGCCUCCUCCUCCUUAUCCCGGGGGCUGUAGGUGAGGAUGAGGCGGUCUGCUGGUGGAGAUGGGUCACUCCAUGUGACAUUCACACUGGAGGAUGUCAGCUGGGAGAAGUGGAGCUGUGAGAUGGGCCGGACACCUGGAAGAUGGAGAGGAGAGAUGCAACCCCAACCAUCUGCAGAUUUUUUCCAGUGCUUGAAUGGGAAAUACUUAAAAGAGGUGGCAAAGCUGAAGAUCUGGGCUCUCCAUUGAUCUGAAACUCUGCUGGGAUCAACCAGCAGAAACAGGAGGGGAAAAAUGGUGCUUUUUUCAGCUCCACCUGCAAACAUCCUCCAUCCCAGACCCAUAUGGUGGGUGAUGGAACUGUCCCACUGCAGAUGGCGUAUGUUGUCUGCACUUCAUGACUGAAGACUUUUCAGCCAGAGGUCCUUGUGAGGUCCUCCAAGGCUUCAUUUCUUCUUCUUAUGGGCACACAGGCCACCCUGCCCACAGAGGACAGCACAGCAAGUGUGUUCAGUGCUGCUGUCCAAAGGGAUUGUGCCACCACAUUGGUAGGGGCCAUCCUCAUUUUGAGGUCAGCUGCUCCUGUGUGGACACAUUGACCCUGAUUCUCAUACCCAUCACCACCAGGGUUUUGGUGCCAGGGAUGCAGUGGGCUGGCAGAGGUGCCAACAAGGUCUGUGCCCUUGCCCCCAUCCCUUGUGUUUCUCUACCUGUGAAGGCAUCCACGCUGGCCUCCAGGCUCUGCUGCCGUCCCCUCUCAGCGAUGAUGGAGAUGGUGUACUCUGUCCCGGGCUCCAGCUCCGAGAGGGUGAGCUGUGACUCGUCCCUGGACACUGUCACUUCAGAGGCCAUGCCCGAGGCAGGGGUGAAGGUGAUGCGGUAGUGGUCGAUGGGACCCGUGGCUUUGGUCCAAGCCAGUGAGAUGGACGUCUCAGUGGAGGCUGUCACCAGCAGGUCCCGGGGGCUGUCAAGCUCUGUGGGAGAGGGUUGGUGCAGAGCUUUGUCCCCAUGCACUGACUGUCCCAUGGGGGCAUCUGAGCCAUAGCAGCCAGCUGUGCUUGGAGCAGGCAGUGGGGCCAAACUCACCAGUCCUGGCAUUCAUGGUUGCUGGCACACUCUGCUGGCUGUCCAUCACGGCUGAAAUCCCAAUGCCAUACUCUGUUCCCGGCACCAGAUCUACCAGGGAGGGCAAAGAACAUGACAGGGUGACCUCAGGGUCUGUGUGACCUCUUCUUCCACCUCCCACAAGUGGGGGUACAGGAGGACCCUCCAGGGCAUCCCUCAGGUCAGCAGUUCCUCUGCACGUUGCAGAAGAGCUGAGUCUUUUCAAAAAGCCCUGUGGAUGCCGUUGGACAGGGAAUUUGGGUUAUUUUAGCCCAGAAACAAGCCAUUUUUAAAAGCUGUUGCUGAGGUCUGCUGCAAUUGCUGGCGGUGAGAUAGAAGCUCUUGUGUGUGUGAGCUGAGAUGGGAAUGAUAAAGUAGCUAUAUUUUUUUCCAAAGUGAUGCAGCAUCAAAUAUUGUCACAGGGCUGGUGUCUUGGAGAGGAAUAAACUAUGUAGAGUAAAUGAAAUGCACAUUAAUUGGGAAAGGUGCAGUCUUUCUGGGAGCUGAAUUAAGCCCUGUUCUUUAGGGUAGAAAUAUCCUGAGUUGCUUCUCUCAAGGAACUUGGGAAUUGAACUCAUCCAGCUCCGUUCCUCUUGCACUGCUUUAUUUCCAUGGAAUAUCUCUUGCCUCAGCCUGUCACUUCUGCUUGGCUGCUGGUGGCUUUAUUCCCCUCUUCCCUGUUCUUCAUGAUCCUUCAUACAAAGUUAGAAAAAGCAAUAAACUCUCCAGCUCAGCCUCACUGUGCCUCACCCAGGGACAGCACCAAAACCUUUCCCAAGAGGUCAGGAGGGAGAGACACUCUCCUCCCCUGCUUUUCUCUUGCUACAGUGCAGUCUUGAUGAUGGGGAGAAGUUGGACCUGCUCACCAAGUGUCAGAAGUAUUCUGGGAAGAAGAGUCUGGCAGAAGGUAGGAGAAGGAAGAAAUGAGCAGGAGGAUAUAAACCUUUUCUCUCCCAGCUCUUUUGGGAUGAGCAUAUUUAUGGUUAUUUCUGUGCAAAUGCUGAUUUUUAAUAGAGACUACGGGUCAGGGCCAGGCUUGCUGCCCUUUAAAGUGUAAAUCUUUGAUAAACUCUGCUCAGUGCCAUUCCACACUGCUUUUCCUGCAGGUAGAUGAGACUGGCUGAGAGAAUUGCUGGUUACUUUCAUACCAUGGAUCCCAUCAGGUUCUGGGUGACUGGAAAAACACCCCAAUGGAUUUUGCACAAAGUCCAACAAGACUGGAGGAUAUGACUACUCUGUACAAAAAGAGCUUUGGAAGAGGCUCAUGUGCCAUCCACAUUAUGACUUUUUUUGCUAGCAGAAUGGCUUUUUCAUUAUUUUCUGCUAUGACUAGAUUGGUUUGUUUUGUUUUUAUAAUUGGUUUGUUUAUGACACCGUACACUGGGGAAUGGAAGCAAUGCACUUGUGUGAUGAUGGAGGUAUUAUAUAAAAAAUAACUCUGUACAACUGACUUAAGAAUCUGCAUCUCUGCAGCUUGCUCUGGUUGGGUUUCUUGCAGCCUUACCUGAGACUGGAAGAGCCUUGGCAGCUUUUUUAGUUUUAUUGAGAAAAACAAGGGACUUUAGGCUCUUGCCAUAUAUUCCAAGGCAAGCUCAAGCCAUGGAUAUUGUCUGUGUGUGUCACUGUUGUGCCUCUGCCCAGGAAGGGGGAUUUGGCCCAUUUUUAAUGCUUCUUCUCACCUAGAAAGCCAAUAUAUGUCCUAAAGGAAAGCUAGCAGGAGUCCAGCACCGAGGCUCUGAUCUCAUCCUACUUCUCCCCACGCAUCCUCAUCAAGAACACAGAAGAAACCAGCCCUGAUGGUUUUCUUCUUUCUACAUUCCACAUUUUUCAAGAUUCCUGAGCCCUUGAAGGUCCCGGGAAGGCAGAGAGGCAACAUGGAAGAACCUGUUGUCCUUCCAGACUGAAGAACUUCAAGAUGAAUGAGAGGACAUUUUUGCAUAUAAUUCUUUUCUUUGCUCAAAAUAUGCCACUGGAGCAGCAAAUCCACGAGGUGUUGACAAUGUGUUAAAUAACAUGCGGCCAAAGACAAGAUCCAAGUGUGGAGAACUGAGGAAUGUCUCUAGAAAUGUUCCUGCUUUGGUGCCAGCUCCUGGUUUGUCCUUAAACUGAGGAAUAAAAGCUGUUGGUGUCUUGGCAAUGGGAAGAGAGGAGAAAAUGCAACUGCUCUGAAAUUUGGGCCCUUCCUUCCUCCACACCCCACAACACUCAGCCUUUGGACAUCCUGGGCUCAAGCCUGGCUGAUGGAUGCUUUGAGUCCAGCAGGACUUAACCGAUGGAUGGAUGGAUGGAUGGAGCCAAGCCUUGCCAUCACUCCUGUGCCAUGGCAGUGCUCAUGCAUGAAGCCUGCUGGGCAGCCUGUGUUAUCACUUAGAUGAUCACAAGGCUCAAGUUUCUGCUGCUAGAAGGUUUUUUAUGUAAAAAGUGAGCGAGCUUGAGCAUCCCCUCAGGAUCCAUGGGCAGCAAGCAACAAGGGCAGUAGGAUACUUACUGGUCAUCACCCUGGAGGUAACAGGGAUGCUGAAGACAUCACUGAUGACUGCAUAGAUGCUGACAUUGUAGGCAACACCUGGCUCCAGAUCCGUGAUGCUGAUGCUGCUCCAGUCCCCAGGCACCCUCUGCUGGAGCUGGGUGCCCCCUGGCACGGCGGGCUGGUAGGACACCAUGUACUCAGUCGCGGCCCCGGGGCUGUCCCAGGCCAGCUCGAUGGAGCUGUCGCUGAUCGCCGUCACCCGCAGGUUCUCAGGGGGAGACACUGGUGGGAAGGACAGAGGUAUGGAGAGUGUCAGGGUGUGUGUGGCUGAUUCUUCCACUCCUGUGGGAGGCUGUGUAGGUCUGCUGGUGGGCCACAGGCACGGGCUGGGUGUUAUGGGCUAGCUGUGGUUAUCUGAACAGCUAAAACAAGGUAAAGGCUCAGGAGAACCCGAUGCACUAAGGGUUUAGCCCCCAUGUUAGGAUGUGUUGGCAUUAUAAAAUUAGAGAGUUUGGGGAAAAUUGUAAAAGAUAGGUUUUAGAGAUAGUAGAAUUGUGAUUAGAGUCAAGCAGUAGCUAUAAAAUUGGUUAGUGGAAAAAUUAGGUAAGAAGUAGAAAAGUAAGGAUAAAUAGAACAAUGGUUUGUAUGUUAAUGUUUGUUUAGAAUAAUUUUUAAGUUGUAGGAAAGUAUAUUUAGUAAGAUAACAGGAAGUUUUAGGCUUAAUAAUGGAGUUUCAUGUAUUGUGUUUUAAGGCUUACAAGCAGGUAUUAUAUUCUAAAAAACCAAGCACUGUUUUAACCAAAGGUACGUGUGCUUACAGUGGCUGGAUAGAACUACUGUCAAUAUGCUUUUGCUUUGUGUGGUUGGUCAAAAAACUUUUAAAGUAAGCUGUAACAUUAAGUUCUUUGUCUGCUGCCUGGGAUGUGAGCUGAUGGCAUCUUCCCAUUGUCAUAACCAUACAUUGAGGCUGAUGCUGGAAAAUAAACCAGGUCAAGACACGUCCCUAGCAGUCUCAUCCCAUUCCUGAUUUGUACAUAGCCCCUGGCUGGCAAUAGGAUGAACCUCACCAGCUUUUUGCUCACCUCCCAGACUUUUGUCCAUGGUGUCUUUGGGGACAGGGAUAACGGGGGGGGGGGGGGGUUCAGUGUGUCCUAAGUGAUGCGGUCUGCAGGUAUGGAGCUGAUGCUGGAAAAUAAACCAGGUCAAGACACA
This is a long non-coding RNA of Haemorhous mexicanus (house finch), 11896 nucleotides long. RefSeq lists it as uncharacterized. The transcript has 8 exons. The record is from RefSeq and is a predicted model, not a curated record. Lineage: Eukaryota; Metazoa; Chordata; Aves; Passeriformes; Fringillidae.